Molecule: ribosomal RNA, 509 nt
Filed under: uncultured bacterium
Lineage: Bacteria
Description: partial 16S ribosomal RNA
Source: RNAcentral
GGAGUUAGCCGGUUGCUUCUUCUGUGAGUGAUGUCCUUCCUGCCGGCUAUUAACCCGCAGGCCUUCUUCCUCACUGAAAGUGCUUUACAACCCGAAGGCCUUCUUCACACACGCGGCAUGGCUGGAUCAGGGUUGCCCCCAUUGUCCAAUAUUCCCCACUGCUGCCUCCCGUAGGAGUCUGGGCCGUGUCUCAGUCCCAGUGUGGCUGAUCAUCCUCUCAGACCAGCUACGGAUCGUCGCCUUGGUGAGCCGUUACCUCACCAACCAGCUAAUCCGACAUAGGCUCAUCCGAUAGCGCGAGGCCCGAAGGUCCCCCGCUUUCCCCCGUAGGGCGUAUGCGGUAUUAGCCUGGGUUUCCCCAGGUUAUCCCCCACUACCCGGGCAGAUUCCUAUGCAUUACUCACCCGUCCGCCGCUCGCCACCAGGGAGCAAGCUCCCCGUGCUGCCGCUCGACUUGCAUGUGUUAGGCCUGCCGCCAGCGUUCAAUCUGAGCCAGGAUCAAACUCUGA